UGCUGCUAGUACCUCCACAAAUCCGUCUCCAAAGUUGAUACCAUUUCCAAAGUAUGUGCGUGCAAGGUGUCGAUUAAGGGAAGCAGAGUUGAAUUGGGUCAGUACAAAUAUCUUGUUAAUGCCACUGUUGAUGCAGUUGCUCAUUGGGAUGUCUAUUAGCUUAUAGCAUCCUCCCACUGGUACAGCUGGUGUUGCUGCCCUUCUUGUAAGAGGAAACAAUUGAGUCCCUGCACCUCCUCCCAAUAUG
RNAcentral lists this unclassified non-coding RNA (247 nucleotides) under Hevea brasiliensis (rubber tree). Lineage: Eukaryota; Viridiplantae; Streptophyta; Magnoliopsida; Malpighiales; Euphorbiaceae. The record is from RNAcentral.